GUGUUAGCAGCCGCGGUAAUACGUAGGGUGCGAGCGUUAAUCGGAAUUACUGGGCGUAAAGCGUGCGCAGGCGGUUUUGUAAGACAGAUGUGAAAUCCCCGGGCUUAACCUGGGAACUGCGUUUGUGACUGCAAGGCUAGAGUACGGCAGAGGGGGGUGGAAUUCCACGUGUAGCAGUGAAAUGCGUAGAUAUGUGGAGGAACACCGAUGGCGAAGGCAGCCCCCUGGGCCUGUACUGACGCUCAUGCACGAAAGCGUGGGGAGCAAACAGGAUUAGAUACCCUGGUAGUCC
Molecule: ribosomal RNA, 292 nt
Filed under: uncultured microorganism
Description: partial 16S ribosomal RNA
Rfam family: Bacterial small subunit ribosomal RNA
Source: RNAcentral